UAGUCAUAUGCUUGUCUCAAAAAUUAACCCAUGCAUGUCUAAGUAUAAGCAAUCUAUACGGUGAAACUGCGAAGGGCUCAUUAAAUCAGUUAUCGUUUAUUUGAUAGUACCUUACUACUUGGAUAACCGUGGUAAUUCUAGAGCUAAUACAUGCUAAAAACCCCGACUUCGGAAGGGGUGUAUUUAUUAAAUAAAAAACCAAUGCCCUUCGGGGCUCCUUGGUGAUUCAUAAUAACUUAACAAAUCGCAGGGCCUUGUGCCGGCAAUGGUUCAUUCAAAUUUCUGCCCUAUCAACUUUCGAUUGUAAGGUAGUGGCUUACAAUGGUUUCAACGGGUAACGGGGAAUUAGGGUUCUAUUCCGGAAAGGGAGCCUGAAAAACGGCUACCACAUCCAAGGAAGGCAGCAGGCGCGCAAAUUACCCAAUCCCGACACAGGGAGGUAGUGACAAUAAAUAACAAUACUGGGCCUUCUCAGGUCUGGUAAUUGGAAUGAGUACAAUUUAAAUCCCUUAACGAGGAUCCAUU
RNAcentral lists this ribosomal RNA (525 nucleotides) under uncultured eukaryote. RNAcentral's name for it is "SSU rRNA". It matches the Rfam family "Eukaryotic small subunit ribosomal RNA", at positions 21 to 549 of the family's 1831-position model. The record is from RNAcentral.